CAAGGUUUCCGUAGGUGAACCUGCGGAAGGAUCAUUAUCGAGUUUUGACUGGGUUGUAGCUGGCCUUCCGAGGCAUGUGCACGCCCUGCUCAUCCACUCUACACCUGUGCACUUACUGUGGGCUUCAGAUCGUAAAACGGGUCCCUUUACCGGGCUUGCGGAGCGUGUCUGUGCCUGCGUUUAUCACAAACUCUAUAAAGUAUCAGAAUGUGUAUUGCGAUGUAACGCAUCUAUAUACAACUUUCAGCAACGGAUCUCUUGGCUCUCGCAUCGAUGAAGAACGCAGCGAAAUGCGAUAAGUAAUGUGAAUUGCAGAAUUCAGUGAAUCAUCGAAUCUUUGAACGCACCUUGCGCUCCUUGGUAUUCCGAGGAGCAUGCCUGUUUGAGUGUCAUGAAAUCUUCAACCUGCAAGCUUUUGUGGUUUGUAGGCUUGGACUUGGAGGCUUGUCGGCCGUUCUUGGUCGGCUCCUCUUAAAUGCAUUAGCUUGGUUCCUUGCGGAUCGGCUCUCAGUGUGAUAAUGUCUACGCUGCGACCGUGAAGCGUUUGGCGAGCUUCUAACCGUCUUAGUUGGAGACAACUUUAUGACCUCUGACCUCAAAUCAGGUAGGACUACCCGCUGAACUUAAGCAUAUCAAUAAGCGGAGGAAAAGAAAACUAACAACAGGAUUCCCCUAGUAACUGCGAGUGAAAGCGGGAAA
This 699-nucleotide ribosomal RNA is filed under the name Ganoderma sp. BAB-4727. RNAcentral's name for it is "eukaryotic LSU rRNA". The stretch from base 239 to 392 matches the Rfam family "5.8S ribosomal RNA". Lineage: Eukaryota; Fungi; Basidiomycota; Agaricomycetes; Polyporales; Polyporaceae. The record is from RNAcentral.